This 343-nucleotide long non-coding RNA is filed under the name Malus domestica (apple). RNAcentral describes it as "long non-coding RNA (MDOM_LNC014613)". The record is from RNAcentral. Lineage: Eukaryota; Viridiplantae; Streptophyta; Magnoliopsida; Rosales; Rosaceae.
UACCCUCUGAUGGGGUUUAUACAAAUAUCUUCGAAAGAUACGAAAAAUAAAUUACAUCAUUCAAAACAAAGGUUUCGAUACAAAAGCUUCGACAGUUGCAGAUCGUUGGUGCGUUGCUUUUGCUUUUGCUUUUGCUUUGCUUUUGUUUCUCCCACUCCAUUUCUUUGCCCACCCAUGUUCCCCAUCCCUGUCUGAUGCAAUCCUUUAGGCGCAAUUUUUUAUAAUCUCCAAAUCCUUAAAGUAAGAUCAUCACUGCAGGUAAUCAUUUUGUCUCUAUUUUGUUGUCAUGCAUGUGCAGACACGCCGAAAGAUUAAAGGGAAAAAGCAAAUAAUAACAUCCAUC